AGAGCGAACGCUGGCGGCAGGCCUAACACAUGCAAGUCGAGCGCCCGUAGCAAUACGGGAGCGGCAGACGGGAGAGUAACACGUGGGAACGUACCCUUCAGUUCGGAAUAACCCAGGGAAACUUGGACUAAUACCGAAUACGUCCGUAAGGGGAAAGAUUUAUCGCCGAAAGAUUGGCCCGCGUCUGAUUAGCUAGUUGGUGGGGUAACGGCCCACCAAGGCGACGAUCAGUAGCUGGUCUGAGAGGAUGAUCAGCCACAUUGGGACUGAGACACGGCCCAAACUCCUACGGGAGGCAGCAGUGGGGAAUAUUGGACAAUGGGCGCAAGCCUGAUCCAGCCAUGCCGCGUGAGUGAUGAAGGCCCUAGGGUUGUAAAGCUCUUUUGUGCGGGAAGAUAAUGACGGUACCGCAAGAAUAAGCCCGGCUAACUUCGUGCCAGCAGCCGC
RNAcentral lists this ribosomal RNA (447 nucleotides) under uncultured bacterium. RNAcentral's name for it is "SSU rRNA". It matches the Rfam family "Bacterial small subunit ribosomal RNA", at positions 26 to 518 of the family's 1533-position model. The record is from RNAcentral.